GAUAUUCAAAAUCUAAUGUAUACUGCUA
Molecule: small RNA, 28 nt
Filed under: Bombyx mori (domestic silkworm)
Lineage: Eukaryota; Metazoa; Arthropoda; Insecta; Lepidoptera; Bombycidae
Description: ovarian small RNA-16080
Source: RNAcentral